Long non-coding RNA from Salvelinus fontinalis (brook trout), 899 nucleotides. RefSeq lists it as uncharacterized. The transcript is spliced from 6 exons. Lineage: Eukaryota; Metazoa; Chordata; Actinopteri; Salmoniformes; Salmonidae. The record is from RefSeq and is a predicted model, not a curated record.
AGUCUUGAGCGCAGAUGCAUGGUCAUUUUCAGGGGCAUGCUUGGUGAUAGAAGGAAAGGACUUAUUCUUAUCGUUAGAAGAUCCAGAGGUCUGGUUAGCCCUGACCAUUAUCCGAUCGCUAAGACGCUUGCACACUCCCUCAAAGCUCCAUUUGUUUAAGCCCACCUAGAAAUGUUUUUCCCUGAGGGACAGAAUGCGCUAAGAGUGAACAAACUAACGAGUUCAUGACAUGAUCCAGGGAUCUGAUGCAACCACCCCCCAUUGUCAGUGUCCAGUUGGUCAUCAAAAUGCCGGGAUCUCUUGCAAGGUUCAUCAACACUUGAUACGGCCAGAGCAGCAGUGGGCGGGUCGCCAACACAGCAGCCAUACAAUAGCACAGGAGGAAGAGGUGGAUGAAUAGGGGGAUGAAGAAGAGGGUCAGGAAAAAUUGAUGGACGAAGGGGACACAGCAGAGGGCAAAAGACGAUUCCUGGACAGAGUGGGCGAAAGGACAGUCUGGAGACACGGCAGAUCUGAAGAAACGAAAGAGUGGAGAAGCGGAGGACAGUGGACACGAGAACGGAUCGUGCGAGGCAGAGAACAGUGCCAAAAAGAAAAAGCCCCUAGACACCUCAGCCAACCUCUCAGCGUUCGCCUUCAACACAAAUUAAAUAUAAGGCUAUAUCAUGGACCGAUUUAUACAUUUUGCUCCCCAUGUCUGUUUAGUUAGGGUCAUAGGUCACAGCGAAAUAAUUCUCAUUUGUGAGGUGUUUUCACGUUGUCAUUGAGGGGUGUUGUGUGUGGAUUGAUGAGGAAGGUCCGAGUGCAUAGCAUAUUCAUGUCUGUCAAGUUAUUGUUUAAUUCCAAAUGUAAUUCAAUUGCAUUGUUAUAUCGUGAAAGGAAACAAUAAAAGCUAUAAA